Molecule: ribosomal RNA, 1472 nt
Filed under: Enterococcus mundtii
Lineage: Bacteria; Bacillati; Bacillota; Bacilli; Lactobacillales; Enterococcaceae
Description: bacterial SSU rRNA
Rfam family: Bacterial small subunit ribosomal RNA
Source: RNAcentral
GGGGAGUGGCGUCGUGCUAUACUGCAAGUCGAACGCUUCUUUUCCCACCGGAGCUUGCUCCACCGGGAAAAGAGGAGUGGCGAACGGGUGAGUAACACGUGGGUAACCUGCCCAUCAGAAGGGGAUAACACUUGGAAACAGGUGCUAAUACCGUAUAACAAUCGAAACCGCAUGGUUUCGUUUUGAAAGGCGCUUUACGGUGCCGCUGAUGGAUGGACCCGCGGUGCAUUAGCUAGUUGGUGAGGUAACGGCUCACCAAGGCCACGAUGCAUAGCCGACCUGAGAGGGUGAUCGGCCACAUUGGGACUGAGACACGGCCCAAACUCCUACGGGAGGCAGCAGUAGGGAAUCUUCGGCAAUGGACGAAAGUCUGACCGAGCAACGCCGCGUGAGUGAAGAAGGUUUUCGGAUCGUAAAACUCUGUUGUUAGAGAAGAACAAGGGUGAGAGUAACUGUUCACCCCUUGACGGUAUCUAACCAGAAAGCCACGGCUAACUACGUGCCAGCAGCCGCGGUAAUACGUAGGUGGCAAGCGUUGUCCGGAUUUAUUGGGCGUAAAGCGAGCGCAGGCGGUUUCUUAAGUCUGAUGUGAAAGCCCCCGGCUCAACCGGGGAGGGUCAUUGGAAACUGGGAGACUUGAGUGCAGAAGAGGAGAGUGGAAUUCCAUGUGUAGCGGUGAAAUGCGUAGAUAUAUGGAGGAACACCAGUGGCGAAGGCGGCUCUCUGGUCUGUAACUGACGCUGAGGCUCGAAAGCGUGGGGAGCAAACAGGAUUAGAUACCCUGGUAGUCCACGCCGUAAACGAUGAGUGCUAAGUGUUGGAGGGUUUCCGCCCUUCAGUGCUGCAGCUAACGCAUUAAGCACUCCGCCUGGGGAGUACGACCGCAAGGUUGAAACUCAAAGGAAUUGACGGGGGCCCGCACAAGCGGUGGAGCAUGUGGUUUAAUUCGAAGCAACGCGAAGAACCUUACCAGGUCUUGACAUCCUUUGACCACUCUAGAGAUAGAGCUUCCCCUUCGGGGGCAAAGUGACAGGUGGUGCAUGGUUGUCGUCAGCUCGUGUCGUGAGAUGUUGGGUUAAGUCCCGCAACGAGCGCAACCCUUAUUGUUAGUUGCCAUCAUUUAGUUGGGCACUCUAGCAAGACUGCCGGUGACAAACCGGAGGAAGGUGGGGAUGACGUCAAAUCAUCAUGCCCCUUAUGACCUGGGCUACACACGUGCUACAAUGGGAAGUACAACGAGUCGCGAAGUCGCGAGGCUAAGCUAAUCUCUUAAAGCUUCUCUCAGUUCGGAUUGUAGGCUGCAACUCGCCUACAUGAAGCCGGAAUCGCUAGUAAUCGCGGAUCAGCACGCCGCGGUGAAUACGUUCCCGGGCCUUGUACACACCGCCCGUCACACCACGAGAGUUUGUAACACCCGAAGUCGGUGAGGUAACCUUUUGGAGCCAGCCGCCUAAGGUGGGAUAGAGAUGGCG